Podarcis lilfordi (Lilford's wall lizard) is the source of this 146-nucleotide non-coding RNA. The record is from the annotation of a GenBank genome assembly. NCBI's taxonomy places the organism in Eukaryota, Metazoa, Chordata, Lepidosauria, Squamata, Lacertidae.
ACCUUAGAGAACAACUAAGUUUGUUCUUGGUAUAAGCUUUUGUGUGCAUGCACAGUUCUUCAGAUACCAUGUACACCAUGCACCAUCCACGUACACCAUGCACAUGAAAGCUUAUACCCAGAACAAACUUAGUUGGUCUCUAAGGU